RNAcentral lists this ribosomal RNA (256 nucleotides) under uncultured bacterium. RNAcentral describes it as "partial 16S ribosomal RNA". It matches the Rfam family "Bacterial small subunit ribosomal RNA", at positions 338 to 610 of the family's 1533-position model. The record is from RNAcentral.
CCUACGGGACGCAGCAGUGGGGAAUAUUGCACAAUGGGGGAAACCCUGAUGCAGCGACGCCGCGUGAGUGAAGAAGUAUUUCGGUAUGUAAAGCUCUAUCAGCAGGGAAGAAAAAAGACGGUACCUGACUAAGAAGCCCCGGCUAACUACGUGCCAGCAGCCGCGGUAAUACGUAGGGGGCAAGCGUUAUCCGGAUUUACUGGGUGUAAAGGGAGCGUAGACGGUGCGUCAAGUCUGAAGUGAAAGCCCGGGGCUU